Molecule: ribosomal RNA, 480 nt
Filed under: uncultured bacterium
Lineage: Bacteria
Description: partial 16S ribosomal RNA
Rfam family: Bacterial small subunit ribosomal RNA
Source: RNAcentral
GACGAACGCUGGCGGCGUGCUUAACACAUGCAAGUCGAACGAUGAAGAAAAGAAUCGAAGCUUCGGCAGAAAUUCAUUUCGGAUUAGUGGCAGACGGGUGAGUAACGCGUGAGCAACCUACCUCUUACAAAGGGAUAGCCUCGGGAAACCGGGAUUAAUACCAUAUAACAUUGCGACGAAGCAUUUCGAUGCAAUCAAAGCUACGGCGGUAAGAGAUGGGCUCGCGUCCCAUUAACCGGAUGGUGAGGUAACGGCUCACCAUAGUGACGAUGGGUAACCGGGCUGAGAGGCGGAACGGUGACACUGGAACUGAGCCACGGUCCAGACUCCUACGGGAGGCAGCAGUGGGGAAUAUUGCAAAAUGGAGGGAACUCUGAUGCAGCGACGCCGCGUGAGUGAUGAAGGAAUUCGUUACGUAAAACUCUGUUAUAUGGGAAGAAAAGGACUGUACCAUAGGAGAAAGCUCCGGCUAACUACGUG